AGAGUUUGAUCCUGGCUCAGGACGAACGCUGGCGGCGUGCUUAACACAUGCAAGUCGAGCGGAGUAAAAGAUUCGUCUUUUACUUAGCGGCGGACGGGUGAGUAACACGUGGGCAACCUGCCUUUAAGAGGGGGAUAACACAGAGAAAUUUGUGCUAAUACCGCAUAACGAUAUGCUGCCGCAUGGCAAUAUAUCCAAAGGAGUAAUCCGCUUAAAGAUGGGCCCGCGGCGCAUUAGCUAGUUGGUGAGGUAACGGCUCACCAAGGCGACGAUGCGUAGCCGACCUGAGAGGGUGAUCGGCCACAUUGGGACUGAGACACGGCCCAGACUCCUACGGGAGGCAGCAGUGGGGAAUAUUGCACAAUGGGGGAAACCCUGAUGCAGCAACGCCGCGUGAGCGAUGAAGGCCUUCGGGUUGUAAAGCUCUGUCUUCAGGGACGAUAAUGACGGUACCUGAGGAGGAAGCCACGGCUAACUACGUGCCAGCAGCCGCGGUAAUACGUAGGGUGCAAGCGUUGCCCGGAUUUAUUGGGCGUAAAGGGCGCGUAGGCGGCUCGGCACGUCCGUUGUGAAAUCGCCCGGCUCAACUGGGCGGGGUCAGCGGAUACGGUCGAGCUUGAGCAAGCUAGGGGGCAAUGGAAUUCCCGGUGUAGUGGUGGAAUGCGUAGAUAUCGGGAGGAACACCAGUGGCGAAGGCGGUUGCCUGGGGCUUUGCUGACGCUGAUGCGCGAAAGCGUGGGGAGCGAUCCGGAUUAGAUACCCGGGUAGUCCACGCCGUAAACGAUGGACACUAGGUGUUGGUGGUAUCAACCCCGCCAGUGCCGAAGCUAACGCAUUAAGUGUCCCGCCUGGGGAGUACGGCCGCAAGGCUAAAACUCAAAGGAAUUGACGG
RNAcentral lists this ribosomal RNA (892 nucleotides) under uncultured bacterium. RNAcentral's name for it is "bacterial SSU rRNA". It matches the Rfam family "Bacterial small subunit ribosomal RNA", at positions 8 to 916 of the family's 1533-position model. The record is from RNAcentral.